This 453-nucleotide ribosomal RNA is filed under the name uncultured Alloprevotella sp. Its description in RNAcentral is "bacterial SSU rRNA". It matches the Rfam family "Bacterial small subunit ribosomal RNA", at positions 341 to 792 of the family's 1533-position model. The record is from RNAcentral. Lineage: Bacteria; Pseudomonadati; Bacteroidota; Bacteroidia; Bacteroidales; Prevotellaceae.
ACGGGAGGCAGCAGUGAGGAAUAUUGGUCAAUGGACGAGAGUCUGAACCAGCCAAGUAGCGUGCAGGAUGACGGCCCUCCGGGUUGUAAACUGCUUUUAGUUGGGAAUGAAAGAAGGGACGUGUCCCUUAUUGUAUGUACCAUCAGAAAAAGGACCGGCUAAUUCCGUGCCAGCAGCCGCGGUAAUACGGAAGGUCCGGGCGUUAUCCGGAUUUAUUGGGUUUAAAGGGAGCGUAGGCGGGCCUUUAAGUCAGUGGUAAAAGCGUGUGGCUCAACCACACCACGCCAUUGAAACUGGAGGCCUUGAGUGCACACAGGGAUGCUGGAAUUCGUCGUGUAGCGGUGAAAUGCUUAGAUAUGACGAAGAACACCGAUUGCGUAGGCAGCAGACCAGGCCGUAAAUGACGCUCAUGCACGAAAGUGCGGGGAUCGAACAGGAUUAGAUACCCUGGUA